AUGAACGGGAUUAGUGAUGUGAGACAGGAGGAGGUGAUUGGGUGCAGCGAGACGACAAAGGGCAAGAUUCGGAAAGGGUUUGUUGCUGCUGUGUUUGUAGUUUUCUUAAAGAUCAAAACUAUGUUUUCCAUGAAAAAACCAUGUUGUAUCACUUUUUCAGGCUUGUCUGGUUUCAUAAGCAUCGACUGUGGAUAUACCACAGACCCGACUUACACAGAUUCCAAGAUAGGUAUAUCAUAUGUAUGGGAUGAGGGUUUCACUGAUACAGGACUGAUCCACAAUGUUGACAUGGAGAAUUUGCAACCCGACCUUGCAUACCGGUACCAUAAUCUUCGCUUCUUUCCAAGCGGAGAACGUAACUGCUAUACACUGCGGUCCCUAAAACCGGGUGGCAAGUACCUUGUUAGGGCUGCAUUUGGCUAUGGUGACUAUGACAAGCUAAAUAGGCUUCCUACCUUUGAUCUUUACUUCGGGGCCAACUACUGGACAACAGUGACCAUUGUCAAUUCUAGUACAGCGUAUGUGUUUGAGAUAAUUGCUUUGUGCCCUGCCGACUUCCUGCAGAUUUGCUUGGUGAAUAUAGGAUCCGGAACACCUUUCAUCUCAGGGCUUGAUUUGAGGUCACUCAAAGAAAAUCUUUAUCCGCAGGCCAAUGUGGGACAGGCCCUUGUUUUGCUUAGCUUUUUUCAUGACACAGUUGGUUUUGGACCCAAUCGCUACCACUUCGGAACAAACUAUGGGCACAUUAGGUUCCCAGAUGACCCCUACGACCGUAUGUGGCAAAGAUACCAAGAUGUUCCCAGCUGGACAGAUGUAACCAACAAAUCGGAUGAGCCUGUCCAGAAUUCUCCAAACAACAACUACGAUGCACCAUCGGCAGUGAUGCGUAGUGCAUCCACUCCAGUGAAUGGUUCAAGGAUGGACAUAUCCUGGAGUGCAGAUGCAUCCAUGGGUGUUGGCGUUGACACCAAGUACUCUCUUGCACUCUACUUUGCUGAGCUGGAGGCUGUCCAAGGGUUGAGGCAAGUUGAUGUAUCAGUGGACAACAACCAAUUAGUUGCUGGAUUCAGUCCAACCUACUUGAUUGCUACUGUUCUCCCAGCGAUUGUCCAAGGCUCAGGCGAGCACAGCAUCUCCCUCCUGGCAACAUCAAAAUCUGUGCUCCCGCCUUUGAUCAACGCAAUGGAGAUAUUCAUGGUGUGGCCCCUGAAUGAAUCUACUACUGCAUCUUUAGAUGGUAUACUAUGGCAUCCUCUUCUUAUGUUGGUAGCUCUAAUUUGA
RNAcentral lists this ribosomal RNA (1281 nucleotides) under Triticum aestivum (bread wheat). RNAcentral describes it as "partial small subunit ribosomal RNA". Lineage: Eukaryota; Viridiplantae; Streptophyta; Magnoliopsida; Poales; Poaceae. The record is from RNAcentral.